AUUGAACGCUGGCGGAAUGCUUUACACAUGCAAGUCGAACGGCAGCACGGACUUCGGUCUGGUGGCGAGUGGCGAACGGGUGAGUAAUGUAUCGGAACGUGCCCAGUCGUGGGGGAUAACGUAGUGAAAAUUACGCUAAUACCGCAUACGAUCUAUGGAUGAAAGCGGGGGAUCGCAAGACCUCGCGCGAUUGGAGCGGCCGAUAUCAGAUUAGGUAGUUGGUGGGGUAAAGGCCCACCAAGCCAACGAUCUGUAGCUGGUCUGAGAGGACGACCAGCCACACUGGAACUGAGACACGGUCCAGACUCCUACGGGAGGCAGCAGUGGGGAAUUUUGGACAAUGGGCGAAAGCCUGAUCCAGCCAUUCCGCGUGCAGGAUGAAGGCCCUCGGGUUGUAAACUGCUUUUGUACAGAACGAAAAGGUUUCUACUAAUACUAGGAGCUCAUGGCGGCACUGUAAGAAUAAGCACCGGCUAACUACGUGCCAGCAGCCGCCGUAA
RNAcentral lists this ribosomal RNA (500 nucleotides) under uncultured bacterium. RNAcentral describes it as "partial 16S ribosomal RNA". It matches the Rfam family "Bacterial small subunit ribosomal RNA", at positions 30 to 523 of the family's 1533-position model. The record is from RNAcentral.